GUACUUGAAGAAGCGGAGCCAGGGCUGAGAUCCCGAAGGCGGGCGAGGCCGCAGUUCGGGGGCCACGCCCCGGCGUGCUCGGGUCACCGCGGGAAGCCCUUGAACCCCCUGGCGCCCGGCACCCACGUGCGGUAACCGCGGCUCCUCGAGAGCUCCAGGGAUGCGGAUCUACAGUAAGGGCUGUGGCCAGAUGAAUGAAUGCACAUUUUUUAGUGGGCAGAAAGAUGUUAGAAUUCAUGAAUUAGAAUAAGCACAAAGGAGGGCGAGAGGGGAGGCCGUGGAAGCCGCAUUCCUCCCCUUGCCUUGGGCGCCCACCCCCGAAGGGGCGCGUCCCCUCCCUGCUCCACUGCACGUGGGUGUUUAACCAGGGGAUAUCCAGUGCCUCAAGCACCACGACCCGGGAGAAAACUGAGUUGAGAAGGGUCCAUUCAAGAAUUGUGCCCACAAUAUACCAGGCACUUGUCCAGACCUGCAUCGUCCAAUGCCCACCUCGACCUCCCAAAGUGUUGGGAUUAGAGGCGUGAGCCACCGCGCCCUGCCUGCAUGUGGCUAUUGAGAUGUGCUGUAUGAUACACACCGGACUUUGAAGACUCAGUGUGAAAAAUAAAAAGAAUUUUAAGAGGGGUGGGGGUCGAGGGGAGGCAGAGCAGUAGGACAAAUAGCUAAUGCACGCAGGGCUUAAAACCUAGACAACAGGUUGAUGGGUGCAGCAAACCACCAUGACACAUGUUUAUCUAUAUAGCACCUACAUGUUCUGCACUUGUAUCCUGGAACUUAAAAUUAGAAAAAAAAAAUAAUAAAAGCCAACAUGGCAUUCAUUACUGCCAAAAAAAUUAAAACACAUUGUUAAUUUUGUAUAUUGAUUACAGGUUGAACUGAUAAUAUUUUGAAUAUAUUGGGUUAAAGAAAUACAUUUAAAAUUAGUGGCUAGGCACAGUGGCUCAUGCCUGUAACCCCAGCACUUUGGGAGGCUGAGGCGGGUGGAUCACCUGAGGUCUGGAGUUCGAGAUGAGCCUGGCCAACAUGGUGAAACCCCAUUUCUACUAAAAAUACAAAAAUCAGCCGGGUGUGGUGGUGAGUGCCUGUAAUCCCAACUACUUGGGAGGCUGAGGCAGGAGAAUCGUUUGAACCCGGGAGGUGUAGGUUACAGUGAGCCGAGAUUGUCCCACUGCACUCCAGCCUGGGUGACAGAGUGAGACUCCAUCUUAAUAAUAAUAAUAAAACUAUUUCUUGCUGUUUUACUUUUCUAAUGUGACCACCAGAAAAGUUUAGAUGGCUUGUGUGACUCUCAUCAUUGAACGGAGCUGUUCUAAACAUGGGUAAGACAACGCAGAGCUUCGGUUGCAGGACAGAGAAUGAAAUAAUAGACCCAUAAGACAGAUAAGUGACUGAUUGUGACUGCUAGGGUGUUUACAGCAUAGGCCGGUGACAGGAACGAGGAGUGUGGGGAUGAGAGCCGACGUGGGCGAGAGUGCAUGCAAUGCAGGGUCAGACGUUGGAUUCAUCUCUCAGGAGUUGAAAAAGGUGGCGUUCCUGUUCUUUAUUGGCAUUGCUUGUGACACGAGGAUUGCCCCUCUUCCUGAAGAGGUUGGUCAGGAAAAUUUUUUGUUAACUUUUAUUUUAGGUUUGAGGGUCCAUGUGCAGGUUUGUUUCAUGAGUAAACUCAUGUCAUGGGGGAUGGGUGUACAGAUAAUUUCAUCACUGAGGAAUAAGCCUAGUACCCGAUGGGUAUUUUUUCGGAUCUUCUCCCUCCUCCCAUCCUCCACCCUCAGGUAGGCCCCGUUGCCCACCGUUCCCCUCCUAAUAUCCCUGUGUUCUCGCUGUGGAGCUCCCACUUAUAAGUGAGAACACGCGGUGUUUGGUUUUCUGUUUCUGCCUUAGCUUGCCUCCACCUCUAUCCAUAGUGCUGCAAAGGACAUGAUCUCGUUCCUUUUUUAUGGCUUCAUGGUAUUCCACGAUGUAAAUGUACCACAUUUGCUUUGUCAAGUCUACUGUGGAUGGGCAUUUAUGUUGAUUCCACAUCUUUGCUAUCAUGAAUAGUGUUGUGGUGAACAUACACCUGCAUGUGUCUUUAUGGUAGAACGAUUUAGAUUCCUCUGGGUAUAUACCCAGUCAUGGGAUUGCUGGGUUGCAUGGUAGUUCUGUUUUAAGUUCUUUGCAGAAUCACUAUGCUGCUUUCCGCAAUGGUUGAACUAAUUUGCACUCUCAAUAUUAUAUUGUCUAUAGCUGAGAAAGCUGAAAUGUAAAGAUUAAGUCACUUGUCCUCAGACAUGUAGACAGGAAGUGGUACAGCCAGGACUCAAACCUGCCUCCAGAGCCCGUCCUCCUAAACCUAAGUCAUGGUUUUCAAAGUGUGGUCCUUGGAUCAGCAGCAAAAGCACCACCUGGGCACUCAUUAGACAUGGAAAUUCUGGGCCUCAACCCGGACCUCAGCAUGGGAAUCCCUGGGGGUGGAGCCCGGCGGUUUGUGUUUGGGCAGCCCCAGCUGACUCUGAGGCACCAUCAGGUUGGAGGCCACAGUGGGUGAUAGUCCCUGCCCUGUGGUAGCAGCCGGCCUCCCUCCUUCAUUUCUGUUAUUCCAUCUCCUUCUUAAAACAACCCUGUGAGGCUGGCAGGGCAGAUGUCGAUUUUAUUUAACAGAUGAAGAAACUGACCCUUGAGGUUUUAUGACUUACCCAAAGUCAUCGCAUUAGUUUUGGAACUGAAACUUCAAUGGCAGAUCUUCUGGCUGUUAGUCUGAGACUGGAACUAGUACCCACAAGGACUCUGGGAGCAGUAAGGUCAGAGCAGGAGCUACUGCUUCAUUUCAUUGCCUCUAGUGAAGGAGGAGGGGGGUUCCCAGAGCACGGCUUCUCCAUGGGUCUAGCCCAUGAUAGCUGGGUGCUUACCCUGAUGUGCUGAUGAGAUUCUGCCUUAUCUCCUGCAAGCCAUUUGUGCUGUGCUAGGAUUAAACAGUACACUUUGGAACCUUAGCUGCCCACACCCUGAGAGCCAAUCACGCAGAACCCACAGGAAAUCUCGGGGCAGAAGUAGUUUGCCAUAAAUGUCCAUUUUCUCAUUUUUUGUUGUUGUGACGGGGUCUUGCUCUGUCGCCGAGGCUGGAGUGCAUUGGCGCAAUCAUAGCGCACUGCAGCCUCAACCUCCUGGGCUCAAGUCAUCUUUCCACCUCAACCUCCAAAAUAGCUGGUAUUACAGGUGUGCGCCUCCUGUAUAAUUAAAAAAAAAACAUGUUUUGAGGCCGGGUGUGGCGGCUCAUGCCUGUAAUCCCAGCACUUUGGGAGGCCAAGGCGGGUGGAUCAUGAGGUCAAGAGAUUGAGAUCAUCCUGGCCAACAUGGUGAACCCCCGUCUCUACUAAAAAUACAAAAAAUUAGCCGGGCGUGGUGGCAGGCACUUUUAAUCCCAGCUACUUGGGAGGGUGAGGCAGGAGAAUCGCUUGAACCUGGGAGGUGUAGCUUGCAGUGAGCUGAGAUCACACCACUGCACUCCAGCCUGGGCAAAAAGAGUGAAACUCUGUCUCAAAAAAAAAAAUGUUUUGAGGUUACAGGGAGCUAUGAUCACACUACUGCACUCCAGUCUAGAUAACAGAGCGAGACCCUGUCUCUGAAAAAAAAGAAAAAAAAUUCUUUGUAGAGACAAGGUUUCACUAUAUUGCUCAGGCUGGAAUCAAACUCCUGGCCUCAAGCAAUCCUCCUGUAUUGACCUCUCAAAGGGCUGGGAUUACAGGCGGGAGCCACUGUGCUCAGCCUGCAUUUCCUGAUGCAACUCGUUCACAUUCCAUCCAUUAUCAACAAUCCCCACAACUUCACCUCCUGCCAUGGAUGCCUGAGGCUGGGGAAGGGGAACUUCAUUCGGGUGUGGGCGUCACCUUAGCCACAGAGAACCUAAAAGAGUGAUCAAGCCUCACCUGAGGUUGGGAGUUCGAGACCAGCCUGACCAACAUGGGGAAACCCCAUCUCUACUAAAAAUACAAAAUUAGCCAGGUGUGGUGGCGUGUGCCUGUAAUCCCAGCUACACGGGAGGCUGAGGCAGGAGAAUCGCUUGAACCCGGGAGGCGGAGGUUGUGGUGAGCCGAGAUCGCGCCGUUGCACUCCAGCCUGGGCAACGAGAGUGAAACUCCGUCUCGAAAAAAAAAAAAAAAGACUGAUCAAGCCGACUGAAAGUCAGGGUGCUCUGUUAUUAUAACUGAGCACCGGGAAUUCUAAACACUGUCAGUGAUAAAUACUCUUCCCAGAAAAAAAACUUUCUUGUAAUUAUAUGUGUAUAAUUCCAUUUUUAUCCCUAAUCUUUUAACAAACAUGUCUUACAUGGGAGUUAAUCCCAAGGGCUCCCAGCUAUGCACUUGGUUCCAACACGUCUUCGUUCAGCCACAAGAAGUUUAUUUGGUUCAGAAGCAGAGUGCUAGCUUCAGGCACAGUUUGAUCCAGCUGAUGGGCACUGCAACCUCCUGCAUGUAAACAGCAGGUUUGAAGUGAACCGUGGUAGCACUAUGACUAUAAAGACAAACGAGGAGAACUUGCUUUACUUCACUUCAUUCCAUGUGAUCACUUGUGCUUAAAAUUUGAAUCAGUGAAACAGGGCGGUGGGAACCGCAAGCUGAAAUAUUUUUGUUAUAGUGUGGAUUUUAGCUCAUAUAUUACACAUUUUACUGAAUUCAAAUAAUGUCUUUAAAAUUGAAAUUUAGCCAGGAGUGGUGGCUCACGCCUGUAAUCCCAGCACUUUGGGAGGCCGAGGCGGGAUUUCGAGACCAGCCUGGCCAAUAUGGUGAAAACCUGUCUCUGCUAACAAUACAAAAAUUAGCUGGGCGUGGUGGCACGGGCGUGUAGUCCCAGCUACUCAGGAGGCUGAGGCAGAAGAAUCGCUAGAACCCGGGGAGCCGAGAUUGGGCCACUGCACUCCAGCCUGGGCGACAGAAUAAGACUCUGUCUCAAAAAAAUAUUAAAUAAAUAAAUAAAUAAAAUACAAUUGAAAUUUAUUUUUUUUGGCCAGGUACGUUGGCUCAUGCUUUGGGAGGUCAACGGAGGAGGAUUACUCGAGGCCAGGAGUUUGAGACCAGCCUGGGCAACAUAGUGAGAUCCUGUCUCUACAAAAAAAUUUAAAAAUUAGCCAAGCGUGCCUGUGGU
RNAcentral lists this long non-coding RNA (5121 nucleotides) under Homo sapiens (human). Its description in RNAcentral is "HSALNT0026208". The record is from RNAcentral. Lineage: Eukaryota; Metazoa; Chordata; Mammalia; Primates; Hominidae.